RNAcentral lists this transfer RNA (72 nucleotides) under Bos taurus (domestic cattle). It matches the Rfam family "tRNA". From Rfam's summary of the family: Transfer RNA (tRNA) molecules are approximately 80 nucleotides in length. Their secondary structure includes four short double-helical elements and three loops (D, anti-codon, and T loops). The record is from Rfam by way of RNAcentral. RNAcentral also lists the same sequence under 2 other names. Lineage: Eukaryota; Metazoa; Chordata; Mammalia; Artiodactyla; Bovidae.
UCCUGUGUAGCUCAGUUGGUAAAGCAUCUGCCUGCAGUGCAGGAGGCCUGGGUUCAAUUCCUGGGUCAUGAA